Molecule: ribosomal RNA, 496 nt
Filed under: uncultured bacterium
Lineage: Bacteria
Description: partial 16S ribosomal RNA
Rfam family: Bacterial small subunit ribosomal RNA
Source: RNAcentral
AUUGAACGCUGGCGGAAUGCUUUACACAUGCAAGUCGAACGGUAGAGGGGGCAACCCCUCGAGAGUGGCGAACGGGUGAGUAAUAUAUCGGAACGUGCCCAGUCGUGGGGGAUAACGUAGCGAAAGUUAUGCUAAUACCGCAUACGAUCUAAGGAUGAAAGCGGGGGAUCGCAAGACCUCGCGCGAUUGGAGCGGCCGAUAUCAGAUUAGGUAGUUGGUGGGGUAAAGGCUCACCAAGCCAACGAUCUGUAGCUGGUCUGAGAGGACGACCAGCCACACUGGAACUGAGACACGGUCCAGACUCCUACGGGAGGCAGCAGUGGGGAAUUUUGGACAAUGGACGCAAGUCUGAUCCAGCCAUUCCGCGUGCAGGAUGAAGGCCCUCGGGUUGUAACCUGCUUUUGUACGGAACGAAAAGGUCUCUCUUAAUACGGGGGGCUCAUGACGGUACCGUAAGAAUAAGCACCGGCUAACUACGUGCCAGCAGCCGCCGUAA